This 24-nucleotide non-coding RNA is filed under the name Arabidopsis thaliana (thale cress). Lineage: Eukaryota; Viridiplantae; Streptophyta; Magnoliopsida; Brassicales; Brassicaceae. The record is from RNAcentral.
AUCAAUUAUAGUCCGAAGUGGUCC